GACGAACGCUGGCGGCGUGCUUAACACAUGCAAGUCGAACGGAAAGGCCCUGCUUUUGUGGGGUGCUCGAGUGGCGAACGGGUGAGUAACACGUGAGUAACCUGCCCUUGACUUUGGGAUAACUUCAGGAAACUGGGGCUAAUACCGGAUAGGAGCUCCUGCUGCAUGGUGGGGGUUGGAAAGUUUCGGCGGUUGGGGAUGGACUCGCGGCUUAUCAGCUUGUUGGUGGGGUAGUGGCUUACCAAGGCUUUGACGGGUAGCCGGCCUGAGAGGGUGACCGGCCACAUUGGGACUGAGAUACGGCGCAGACUCCUACGGGAGGCAGUAGGGGGGAAUAUUGCACAAUGGGCGGAAGCCUGAUGCAGCAACGCCGCGUGCGGGAUGACGGCCUUCGGGUUGUAAACCGCUUUCGCCUGUGACGAAGCGUGAGUGACGGUAAUGGGUAAAGAAGCACCGGCUAACUACGUG
This 468-nucleotide ribosomal RNA is filed under the name uncultured bacterium. RNAcentral describes it as "partial 16S ribosomal RNA". It matches the Rfam family "Bacterial small subunit ribosomal RNA", at positions 28 to 507 of the family's 1533-position model. The record is from RNAcentral.